This 421-nucleotide ribosomal RNA is filed under the name Coccoglypta pinchoniana. RNAcentral describes it as "partial large subunit ribosomal RNA". It matches the Rfam family "Archaeal large subunit ribosomal RNA", at positions 1950 to 2681 of the family's 2987-position model. Lineage: Eukaryota; Metazoa; Mollusca; Gastropoda; Stylommatophora; Camaenidae. The record is from RNAcentral.
UCUGCUCAUGAUAUUGUUAAAUAGCCGCAGUACCUUGACUGUGCAAAGGUAGCAUAAUCAAUUGACUUAUAAUUGAAGUCUAGGAUGAAAGAAUAUAUGGGGAGUACCUGUCUCACUGGGGGUUAUUUUAAAUUACUUAGCAGGUGAAAAUGCCUGUUGAAAUAUAAUAGACGAGAAGACCCUAGAAAUUUUUAAAAUAUAUAAAAUAAUAUAUAGUUUUUGUUGGGGCGACAUUAUAGUAAAAUAAUUAACCUAUAUUAAGUAUACGUGAAGGAUGAUUCCCUGAAAGGUUAAAUUACUCUAGGGAUAACAGCAUAAUAUUAUAAAGUUUGUGACCUCGAUGUUGGACUAGGAAUAUUAAAGCCUAAAAGGCUAUUAUAAUUGCUCUGUUCGAGCAAAAGCUCCUACAUGAUCUGAGUUC